This is a non-coding RNA of Termitomyces sp. 'cryptogamus', 94 nucleotides long. Lineage: Eukaryota; Fungi; Basidiomycota; Agaricomycetes; Agaricales; Lyophyllaceae. The record is from the annotation of a GenBank genome assembly.
GGGCACAUGGUGUAGUUGGUUAUCACGCCCGCUUAGCACAUUAUCGAGAAGUGUAUUAUGCGGGCGGUGCCCGGUUCAAUUCCGGGUGUGUCCA